AGUGAACGCUGGCGGUAGGCCUAACACAUGCAAGUCGAACGGCAGCACAGUAAGAGCUUGCUCUUACGGGUGGCGAGUGGCGGACGGGUGAGGAAUACAUCGGAAUCUACUUUUUCGUGGGGGAUAACGUAGGGAAACUUACGCUAAUACCGCAUACGACCUACGGGUGAAAGCAGGGGAUCUUCGGACCUUGCGCGAUUGAAUGAGCCGAUGUCGGAUUAGCUAGUUGGCGGGGUAAAGGCCCACCAAGGCGACGAUCCGUAGCUGAUCUGAGAGGAUGAUCGGCCACACUGGAACUGAGACACGGUCCAGACUCCUACGGGAGGCAGCAGUGGGGAAUAUUGGGCAAUGGGCGAAAGCCUGACGCAGCAAUACCGCGUGGGUGAAGAAGGCCUUCGGGUUGUAAAGCCCUUUUGUUAGGAAAGAAAAGCUGCAUGUGAAUACCCCGCUGUUCUGACGGUACCCAAAGAAUAAGCACCGGCUAACUUCGUG
This 492-nucleotide ribosomal RNA is filed under the name uncultured bacterium. RNAcentral's name for it is "partial 16S ribosomal RNA". It matches the Rfam family "Bacterial small subunit ribosomal RNA", at positions 29 to 507 of the family's 1533-position model. The record is from RNAcentral.